Molecule: ribosomal RNA, 253 nt
Filed under: uncultured bacterium
Lineage: Bacteria
Description: partial 16S ribosomal RNA
Rfam family: Bacterial small subunit ribosomal RNA
Source: RNAcentral
UACAGAGGGGGCGAGCGUUGUUCGGAAUUACUGGGCGUAAAGGGCGCGUAGGCGGCCUGUUAAGUCGAACGUGAAAUCCCCGGGCUCAACCCGGGAACUGCGUCCGAUACUGGCAGGCUUGAAUUCGGGAGAGGGAUGCGGAAUUCCAGGUGUAGCGGUGAAAUGCGUAGAUAUCUGGAGGAGCACCGGUGGCGAAGGCGGCAUCCUGGACCGAGAUUGACGCUGAGGCGCGAAAGCCAGGGGAGCAAACGGG